Molecule: ribosomal RNA, 621 nt
Filed under: uncultured bacterium
Lineage: Bacteria
Description: bacterial SSU rRNA
Rfam family: Bacterial small subunit ribosomal RNA
Source: RNAcentral
CCUACGGGAGGCAGCAGUGGGGAAUUUUGGACAAUGGGCGCAAGCCUGAUCCAGCCAUGCCGCGUGCAGGAUGAAGGCCUUCGGGUUGUAAACUGCUUUUGUACGGAACGAAAAGACUCUGGUUAAUACCUGGGGUCCAUGACGGUACCGUAAGAAUAAGCACCGGCUAACUACGUGCCAGCAGCCGCGGUAAUACGUAGGGUGCGAGCGUUAAUCGGAAUUACUGGGCGUAAAGCGUGCGCAGGCGGUUAUAUAAGACAGAUGUGAAAUCCCCGGGCUCAACCUGGGAACUGCAUUUGUGACUGUAUAGCUAGAGUACGGCAGAGGGGGAUGGAAUUCCGCGUGUAGCAGUGAAAUGCGUAGAUAUGCGGAGGAACACCGAUGGCGAAGGCAAUCCCCUGGGCCUGUACUGACGCUCAUGCACGAAAGCGUGGGGAGCAAACAGGAUUAGAUACCCUGGUAGUCCACGCCCUAAACGAUGUCAACUGGUUGUUGGGUCUUCACUGACUCAGUAACGAAGCUAACGCGUGAAGUUGACCGCCUGGGGAGUACGGCCGCAAGGUUGAAACUCAAAUGAAUUGAGGCUGGAGAGACGACGAGGACGACGACGAGGGGAGGAGG